GGCCUACGGGGCGCAGCAGUCGAGAAUCAUUCACAAUGGGGGAAACCCUGAUGGUGCGACGCCGCGUGGGCGAUGGAGUACUUCGGUAUGUAAAGCCCUAUCAGCAGGGAAGAAAAUGACGGUACCUGACUAAGAAGCCCCGGCUAAAUACGUGCCAGCAGCCGCGGUAAUACGUAUGGGGCAAGCGUUAUCCGGAUUUACUGGGUGUAAAGGGAGCGUAGGCGGCCUGGCAAGCCUGAUGUGAAAUACCGGGGCCCAACCCCGGGGCUGCAUUGGGAACUGCCAGGCUGGAGUGCCGGAGAGGG
This 305-nucleotide ribosomal RNA is filed under the name uncultured bacterium. RNAcentral describes it as "bacterial SSU rRNA". It matches the Rfam family "Bacterial small subunit ribosomal RNA", at positions 335 to 658 of the family's 1533-position model. The record is from RNAcentral.